This 72-nucleotide transfer RNA is filed under the name Bos taurus (domestic cattle). It matches the Rfam family "tRNA". Rfam says of the family: Transfer RNA (tRNA) molecules are approximately 80 nucleotides in length. Their secondary structure includes four short double-helical elements and three loops (D, anti-codon, and T loops). The record is from Rfam by way of RNAcentral. Lineage: Eukaryota; Metazoa; Chordata; Mammalia; Artiodactyla; Bovidae. RNAcentral also lists the same sequence under 5 other names.
UCCUUGGUAGCUCAGUAGGUAGAGAAUAUGCCUGCAGUGCAGCAGACCCAGGUUCAAUCCCUGGGUCAGGAA